CCCCAUCCGUUGGGCCCCUCAGUCCUUUCUUCUCCCUCCAACACUUCCUAGGCCAUCCCAACCUGCACCCCAUCCCUACUUUACCCCAUACAUGCCUUCUCCCAUAGCCCCCUUCCGCCUCCCUUCCUCCCUCCCCAACACCCCCCUGCCUGCAACAACUUUCCCCAGCCUACAUGCCUGUAUCCCCCAGUUCAUUCCUCCAUUCAAGGGACUCCUCAGACCCCAUCUCUCUCCAACAUCCUCCCAGCUCACCACAACCUGCGCCUCCAUCGAUUCCUCCACCUGUAGGGACUGCUCAGCGCCCCUUCCUCACCAACAGCCCCCCCCAGUUCAUUCCCCCAUCCAUUGGGCCCCUCAGUCCCCUUUUUUCCUCCCUCCCACCGCAACCUGCAUCCCACUCUGACCCUAGAUCUGUGGGACACCCAGUGCCCUUUUCUCCUUUGUCCAGCAUUCCCCAACCUGCACCCCCAUUCCUCCCUCCACCCAUGGGGCCCCUCAGCCCUUCUCUCUCCUUCCUGCCCAACACGCACCCUUCAUAGCACACGGGCAGGCGAGCUAGGGGACGAAACCCGUGGGGAGCAGUGGAUUGUAGAGUGGAGCGGUGACUGAUAGUGUGGGCUCAGUCUCUGUUCCUCCACUGGGGCGGCUGGAGAUGGGAUGGGAGAGGGAGGCAGGGAUGAGGGUGUUAAUAGAGCGCUGUGUAGUGAUAGUUCCUGCUUGUCUUUAUUAGUUUGCAGAGGAAUUGUCCAGGAGCUGGAGCCGGAGGAGAAACAGGAAGAAGUGAACCUGAGCAGCCUGGAUAUCCUUGUAAGCAGAGAUGAAGAGUCCUCAGCUUUCUGCCUUCUCCAUGACUGGCUUACCACGGAGAAAGAAGUGAAGGGUAAGAGCCCACCCCAACUGUGAGAUGGAAGGCGCCCAAGAGCCGUGAGACAGUGAGCGUUGUUGAUUCCAGGCUAUGCAGAUGCCAUGAAGCUGGGAGUGGAGCAGACGUCACCAUCAGUGAGAUAAGUGUCUGGUUUCGUGAGGACUCUUGUAACGGUCCACCUGCCUCCAGGCCAGGACUUGUCGUUAGCUGGGGCUGAGUUUGUAGGAAAAGGUUCCUGAAUAGCUGUAGUUACGAGGGAGACAAGGUCCCCAUUUUCAGGGGCUGGUCAUUUCUCUGUCCACAAGCAGUGUGUUCUCUGCAGCAGAAGGUUGGAUCCAGGGGGAUGACUCCAGCUGAGGAAUCAUCCAGGAGCAGCAGCCGGAGGAGAAAUUGGCGCAAGUGGACCUGAGCUGCCUGGAAAUCCUUCUAAGCAGACAUUAACAGUCUUCAGCUUUCUGACUCCCGCAUAA
Molecule: long non-coding RNA, 1335 nt
Organism: Mauremys reevesii (Reeves's turtle)
Lineage: Eukaryota; Metazoa; Chordata; Testudines; Geoemydidae
Exons: 3
Source: RefSeq, a predicted model, not a curated record